Long non-coding RNA from Etheostoma cragini (Arkansas darter), 172 nucleotides. RefSeq lists it as uncharacterized. The transcript is spliced from 2 exons. Lineage: Eukaryota; Metazoa; Chordata; Actinopteri; Perciformes; Percidae. The record is from RefSeq and is a predicted model, not a curated record.
UUUACUAUUCAUGAAGAGGGGAGCUGGUUUUCUUAAACCACUUACCGAUAACAUUCCAGUCCAUCCUUUUUUGCACUUGUUUUCUAUUGUGUAUGACUUCCUCCAGAAAAUUGUGGUAAUUGUAACAACACUUAUGUUGACUGAAUUAAACAAGCAAAAGUUUCUUUUUACU